This 1340-nucleotide ribosomal RNA is filed under the name Phytophthora ipomoeae. RNAcentral describes it as "eukaryotic LSU rRNA". It matches the Rfam family "Eukaryotic large subunit ribosomal RNA", at positions 24 to 1155 of the family's 3401-position model. The record is from RNAcentral. Lineage: Eukaryota; Oomycota; Peronosporomycetes; Peronosporales; Peronosporaceae.
CCCGCUGAACUUAAGCAUAUUAAUAAGCGGAGGAAAAGAAACUAACAAGGAUUCCCCUAGUAACGGCGAGUGAAGCGGGAAGAGCUCAAGCUUAAAAUCUCCGUGCAAGUUUUGCGCGGCGAAUUGUAGUCUAUAGAGGCGUGAUCAGUGUGGGCGCUUGGGGCAAGUUCCUUGGAAGAGGACAGCAUGGAGGGUGAUACUCCCGUUCAUCCCUGAGUUGCUCGUGCGUACGAUCCGUUUUCUUUGAGUCGCGUUGUUUGGGAAUGCAGCGCAAAGUAGGUGGUAAAUUCCAUCUAAAGCUAAAUAUUGGUGCGAGACCGAUAGCGAACAAGUACCGUGAGGGAAAGAUGAAAAGAACUUUGAAAAGAGAGUUAAAGAGUACCUGAAACUGCUGAAAGGGAACCGAAUCGUUUCCAGUGUCUAUAAUCCGUGGUAUAUUUCAUUGGCGAGUGUGUGCGUGCGUGUGCUGUGGCAGCGGCCUUUUUGGCUGCGCUCGGCGUGUGUGCUGUGUGUGCUUGCUGGUGCCCUGUGCUGCGGUGGGACGUCAAGGUCAGUUCGUAUGCUGCGGGAAAUGGCCGCCGAGGAGGUAGGGCUUACGCUUGCGUUUGUCUGUUAUAUCUUGGUGGACGAGUAGUCGCGGUUGGGACUGAGGUGCCUACAACGUGUUUUUGAGUGGGCCUGUGUCUCUGUGUGCGCCGUGUGCGGAUAGCUUGCUAUGCGUGUGUGGUUGUGUGUGGAUUGAUGUGGGUUUUAACUUGUUGCCGUUCGGGACGUUGACGAAAUGGAGCGAUUUGACCCGUCUUGAAACACGGACCAAGGAGUCUAACAUGUGUGCAAGUGUUAGGGUGUGGAAACCCCAGCGCGAAAUGAAAGUGAAGGGCAGCGUAAGUUGUCUGAGGUAGGAAAUGCUGCGGGCUUCGGUCUGCGGUGUGGCACUAUCGACCGAUCAUGAACCUUCGUGGUGAAAGAUUUGAGUUUGAGCACAUAUGUUGGUACCCGAAAGAUGGUGAACUAUGCCUGAGUAGGGUGAAGCCAGGGGAAACUCUGGUGGAAGCUCGUAGCGAUUCUGACGUGCAAAUCGAUCGUCAAACUUGGGUAUAGGGGCGAAAGACUAAUCGAACCAUCUAGUAGCUGGUUCCCUCCGAAAUUUCCCUCAGGAUAGCAGCAACUUAUUUACGAUAGUUUUAUGAGGUAAAGCGAAUGAUUAGAGGAUUCGGGGAAGAAACUUCCUCGACCUAUUCUCAAACUUUAAAUCUGUAAGACCUGCAGGUUUCUUAAUUGAACUUGUGGAUGUGAAUAUCAAGUUGCUAGUGGGCCAUACGGGGUAAGCUCGUCUGGCG